RNA transcript from Malania oleifera, 2998 nucleotides. It is a transcript of the gene named probable anion transporter 5, with no coding region annotated. The record is from RefSeq and is a predicted model, not a curated record. Lineage: Eukaryota; Viridiplantae; Streptophyta; Magnoliopsida; Santalales; Ximeniaceae. The transcript has 3 exons.
UGAAACCGAUGAGAUAAUUCAAUGAUCAUUUUAUGCAAUUUAAUUUUGUGAUGCCAGCUGAGAGAGAGAGACCUCGAUUUGCUUCUACUACGGUUCAGAUUGAUUAUCAGUCGGAGCGUAGAGCGUCUUCUUGCUUGCAGUUCUCUUGGAAGUCCUCCGUGGCUGCUCAAUUAGGCUUCUCUCUCGAACACUGCAUCUGCAGCUCCUUCUUACAGUCAUUAUCCUGCAAAACUCAAGAACAUUUAGAUCUUUGUUCGUACCCACCUGCGCUACCAGUUUAGCACAGAAGAACAUCAAAUCCCAGCUGGUGGGUAUGGUGCGCGAAGGGACACAACAUAGCAGAUAAAGUCAACCUGAGAGAAGAAGCGUUUGCAACAACAUCUUGGUCGAGUUGUUUAAGGUUUCUGUUCUGAACGACGUCGGUGCCGCCGAUAUGCAACUCCUUGGACGCACACAAUGAAGAACAAUGCGCUCAGUUUCGUAGGUCUGCUGUGAUUUUCAUUCCGAUAUUCCUAAAAGGGUUUUGUCUUAGUGUUCCCAAAUUGGGUUUUUUCCAAUUUGUAAUUUGCAUGCAAUGUGUUCGUCAAAUGUCCUACAAGACACCCUCUUUCUUGCAAUUUUUGUAGCUUAUCUGCGAAAAUUGUUUGGGGGCUUUUUUCAGCUGGCGGGACUCGCUAGAAGGACUUAGUUGGUCUUGCCCAUUGUUCAUUUGAUGGACCCAUGGCCGGACAUUUUGUCGGUAAACCAAAUUUUCAACUUAGACCCACAUCUUUGACUUUGUUUUAUGUUAGAUCCAUCUCUUAAACUUAAAUCUGCAGUUUUCUCCUGAAGCAUUCUGCACUGAAUCUGCAUCCAGGUAGAAAUCUCUUAGUAGAGAAACUACAUUUACAUCAAUCCUUCUGAUCCAGUUAUCAGGUUCCCGUUCCACUGAUAUGUAGAAGAUUUUACAAGGCAUGAUAUUGUUGUCAUCAUUUUCCAAAUCACUUCUUCGCAGGAACUGAUCAAACUGAAAUGUUGGAACGUGGGUCAUCACUUAUCUGAAUAGAAUUGAUGAAGUGGGUCAGACAGUAAUUUGUGCAUGAAACUUAUGGUUACUAUGACAAGGAUGAGAUUUCCGAAGCGUUACUUGAUUGUUGUUCUAACUUUCAUCUGUACAUGUGUUUGCUAUAUAGAACGUGUGGGCUUUUCAAUUGCAUACACUGUUGCUGCAGAUGCUGCGGGAGUAAACCAAUCAAGCAAAGGGAUGAUACUUUCUACAUUCUAUUAUGGGUAUGCCUGUUCGCAGGUGCCUGGAGGAUGGGCAGCUCAGAGUAUAGGGGGAAGGCGCAUUCUUCUCCUAUCGUUUGUGCUAUGGUCUUUAACUUGUGCUUUAGUCCCUUUAGACCCCAAUCGAGUUAUGAUCUUGGUAAUUGCCCGUUUGCUUGUUGGGGUAGCGCAAGGGUUUAUCUUCCCCUCCAUCCACACUGUGCUAGCACAAUGGGUACCACCCCAUGAAAGGUCUAGAUCUGUUUCUCUUACCACGUCUGGAAUGUACCUGGGUGCAGCUGCAGGAAUGCUUAUUCUUCCUAGCCUGGUGAAGUUCAGAGGCCCACAAUCUGUAUUUGUUGUUGAAGCAGCGUUAGGGGUUGUGUGGUCUCUACUUUGGUUCAAAUAUGCUAGUGACCCACCGCGUUCUGAGCAUCCAAAAGCCACUGCUGCAGGAUUUGGGGAAUUGUUGUUGCCCAUCAAAGGGACUCAUAAGGUAAAAGUGGAGAAUGGUGGAAGCUCUGGUAGACCAACUGGAAAAAUCCCAUGGAAGAGAAUUAUCUUUAGCCUGCCAGUGUGGGCAAUUGUGGUUAAUAAUUUCACAUUCCACUAUGCUUUGUAUGUGCUGAUGAACUGGCUACCUACAUAUUUUGAACAAGGCCUCCAACUGAGUCUCCAGGACAUGGGUUCAUCUAAGAUGAUGCCAUAUUUCAACAUGUUCAUAUUCUCAAAUAUUGGUGGGGUUGUUGCUGAUUACUUUAUCACCAGGAGGAUCUUCUCUGUGACUAGAACCAGAAAGAUGUUGAACACCAUAGGGUUUGUAGUUGCUUCAUUUGCAUUGAUGGCACUUCCUACAUUCAGAACAUCUCUUGGGGCGGUUUUUUGUUCUUCUGUGGCUCUUGGUUUCUUGGCACUAGGGAGAGCUGGCUUUGCAGUGAAUCACUUAGAUAUUGCUCCAAGAUACGCUGGAAUUGUAAUGGGAGUUUCUAAUACAGCCGGUACAUUAGCCGGUGUCAUUGGGGUUGAUCUGACUGGGCAGCUUCUUGAAGCUGCUAAAAUGGCUCAUUCUGAUCUCUCAAGUCCAGAAAGCUGGAGAGCAGUAUUUGUCAUACCUGGGUUGCUUUGCAUUUUUAGUUCUCUAGUGUUCUUAAUAUUCUCUACUGGUGAGAGGAUUUUUGACUGAGACAGGUUGCUUGCAUGCAAAUGCUUCCUGGCACAUUAAUGUUGUCGUCUGGUAUAUGCAAAUGUAUAUUGUUGGAGCUCUCUGAUGCCUGCUCAAGCAUAUAAUGCAUCUCCAACCGAGGUAUAAACUGCAUUGAGAAAACAGUCCACCAGAGAUUUAGAGAAGAAAAGAGGAGGAAUAAAGGAGCAGCAAUGUUUUAUAUGUCCCACCUUAUCUCCAACCAAGAGUGCUGCCAUUAUUACCAAUUGUAUCUCUCAUUGCUUGGUGGAAGAUUUGGAGACUCCAUUAAAAGUUGCAGGAGGAUUGGUGGCACUCUGAACCUUUGGAAAAGUUGACCUGCGGUUGUAAGCAUAUAAAGAGUGGAGGUUCUAUUUACCCACCUUGGCCUUUUGUUGUUAAUUUCAUGGGCUUUCCGUAUUGUCUUUGCAUUCUAGAGGAAAUGGACCACCACUACAAAAUAAUAUAGGUGGCUGGUCCUAAAAGUGGAGGCCUGGUGUGUUCUGUGGAAUAACGUUUUCUCCAAUGUUAAUUUCACUUUCAGUAGUGCCUUUGCACUAUGGUAUGGAUCAC